This 253-nucleotide ribosomal RNA is filed under the name uncultured bacterium. Its description in RNAcentral is "partial 16S ribosomal RNA". It matches the Rfam family "Bacterial small subunit ribosomal RNA", at positions 524 to 776 of the family's 1533-position model. The record is from RNAcentral.
UACGGAGGGGGCUAGCGUUGUUCGGAAUUACUGGGCGUAAAGCGCGUGUAGGCGGCACGGCAUGUCGGAUGUGAAAUCCCAUGGCUCAACCAUGGAAGUGCACCCGAAACUGCCGAGCUAGAGUCUCGGAGAGGAAGGCGGAAUGCUUGGUGUAGAGGUGAAAUUCGUAGAUAUCAAGCGGAACACCGGUGGCGAAGGCGGCCUUCUGGACGAUGACUGACGCUGAGACGCGAAAGCGUGGGGAGCAAACAGG